Molecule: long non-coding RNA, 910 nt
Organism: Sus scrofa (pig)
Lineage: Eukaryota; Metazoa; Chordata; Mammalia; Artiodactyla; Suidae
Source: RefSeq, a predicted model, not a curated record
UCUAGUCUGGCUUGAACUGAUCAGGGCUCCUCCAUUCAUAGCUGACCAUGAGGUUCCCUGCUCAGCUCCUGGGGCUCCUCCUGCUCUGUGUCCCAGGAUCCAGUGUUGGCCACCGUGCUGACCCAGACUCCACUCUCCCUGUCAGUCAGCCCUGGAGAGCCGGCGUCUAUCUCCCGCAGGUCCACUCAGAGCCUCCAAGGUAGUUAUGGAAACAAAUAUUUGAGUUGGUACCAGCAGAAACCAAGACAGUCGCCACAGCUCCUGAUAUUUUAUGCUUCCAACAAGUCUUCUGGGGUCCCAGACAGGUACAGUGGCAUUGGGUCAGGGACAGAUUUCCCCCUGAAAAUCAGCAGGGUGGAGGCUAAGGAUGCAGGAGUUUAUUACUGCCAGCAACAUAAAGAAUCUCCUCCCACAGUGAUACAGCCCUGAACACAAACUCCUCUCCUGGGCGCCCAGCUGCACACAUGUGUGUGCUGUCUGGGGAGCAGAGGGGCAGAAGCUCUGAGUCUGUGUAAGAGGAAGAAGUGGGAGAACCAGGGGCAGAGGGUGCAGCUGAGGACCGUGGACCAGCGCUGCCUCAGCUCCUCCUCAGACACCGCAUGUUAAGUCCCGUCAGCUUCCCAGCCUUGGCAUGAUACCCCCUUAGAAACAGGCCAGUGAGAGAAAUUGGCCUGGCCUAUGGGACAACCAAAACUCAGCUGAAUUCCCCUUUUGCAGCCCAGGUGUUCUGCCCAUACCAAGUCAGAACUUUAUCGGAUGCAAUCUUGGAAAUAGUAAAGAGUAGCUUACUGUCAGGUAAAAAAAUAAAAGUAGUACAAUGAAAAGCAGAUCUUUAAUUUAGAAUUUUAGGCUAUAGUAUUCUAUUUUCCAUUAAACUCUAAUGCGGUGAAAAUACAAAGUCUCCAAUUUA